ACACCGCCCGUCACACCACGAGAGUUUGUAACACCCGAAGUCGGUGGGGUAACCUUUUUGGAGCCAGCCGCCUAAGGUGGGACAGAUGAUUGGGGUGAAGUCGUAACAAGGUAGCCGUAUCGGAAGGUGCGGCUGGAUCACCUCCUUUCUAUGGAGA
Molecule: ribosomal RNA, 157 nt
Filed under: Bacillus thuringiensis
Lineage: Bacteria; Bacillati; Bacillota; Bacilli; Caryophanales; Bacillaceae
Description: partial 16S ribosomal RNA
Rfam family: Bacterial small subunit ribosomal RNA
Source: RNAcentral